Long non-coding RNA from Zalophus californianus (California sea lion), 594 nucleotides. RefSeq lists it as uncharacterized. Lineage: Eukaryota; Metazoa; Chordata; Mammalia; Carnivora; Otariidae. The transcript has 4 exons. The record is from RefSeq and is a predicted model, not a curated record.
AUUGGGAGGACAGGAGUGACACAGGCAAAAUGUAGGGCAUACGUGACAGAGAAUCUUUUCUUUCUCUGCUCCCUGGAGAGGUGAAGUAGAAGAAGGACCCUACCUGUUCUGAUGCCCGAUGAAGCCACGGAAAGUUCUAGAAAAACAAGAAACCUGGAAGGGACUGACCCCAAGAAGGUGAAGUGUUCGUGGCACUGAAGUGACUGGUGUCGCUGGCCUGUGAAACAUCCACAACGAAGACCACACUACUUCAAGGUGGAAAGUGACACACAUACGCGCACGGAUGAAAACUCAAGAGUGGGUGCAACUUCCUCCAGAAACCGCUGCUUUCCGGAAAACCUGGACAAAGCCUGGGACUUUUUAUGUCAUUUUGGCUUUGAUUUAUGUACGCAUGGAUUUAUUGUUAACUCUCUAAAAAGGAUCCCAGAAGGAAAACAAAACAAUGAAGCCAGUGCUUCAAAGAUGGUCCCACUCAAACUUAAGCCAAGGACUAAAAUCCAACCUCACCAGCAAAUAUUUGCCCCUCAGGGAGCACUAUCCAAAGCAGGAUCUCUAAGAAGACACUUUCUGAGGCACCUCCUGCUUGCUGGGAAA